GACGAACGCUGGCGGCGUGCUUAACACAUGCAAGUCGAACGGAAAGGCCCUGCUUUUGUGGGGUGCUCGAGUGGCGAACGGGUGAGUAACACGUGAGUAACCUGCCCUUGACUUUGGGAUAACUUCAGGAAACUGGGGCUAAUACCGGAUAGGAGCUCCUGCUGCAUGGUGGGGGUUGGAAAGUUUCGGCGGUUGGGGAUGGACUCGCGGCUUAUCAGCUUGUUGGUGGGGUAGUGGCUUACCAAGGCUUUGACGGGUAGCCGGCCGGAGAGGGUGGCCGGCCACAUUGGGACUGCGAUACGGCCCAGUCUCCUACGUGAGGCAGCAGUGGGGAAUAUUGCACAAUGGGCGCAAGCCUGAUGCAGCAACGCCGCGUGCGGGAUGACGGCCUUCGGGUUGUAAACCGCUUUCGCCUGUGACGAAGCGUGAGUGACGGUAAUGGGUAAAGAAGCACCGGCUAACUACGUG
RNAcentral lists this ribosomal RNA (468 nucleotides) under uncultured bacterium. Its description in RNAcentral is "partial 16S ribosomal RNA". It matches the Rfam family "Bacterial small subunit ribosomal RNA", at positions 28 to 507 of the family's 1533-position model. The record is from RNAcentral.